RNAcentral lists this ribosomal RNA (485 nucleotides) under uncultured bacterium. RNAcentral describes it as "bacterial SSU rRNA". It matches the Rfam family "Bacterial small subunit ribosomal RNA", at positions 8 to 518 of the family's 1533-position model. The record is from RNAcentral.
AGAGUUUGAUUAUGGCUCAGGACGAACGCUGGCGGCGUGCUUAACACAUGCAAGUUGAACGGUAUGACAUGGAAGCUUGCUGAAGUGUCAUAUAGUAGCGGACGGGUGAGUAAUGCAUGAGAAGCUGCCAUUGGAGGGGGACAACAGUUGGAAACGGCUGCUAAUACCCCGUAUGCCGGAAGGUGAAAGGGAGCGAUCCGCCCGAUGAGGUGCUCAUGUCCUAUCAGCUGGUUGGUGGGGUAACGGCCUACCAAGGCGACGACGGGUAGCCGGCCUGAGAGGGUGAACGGCCACACUGGAACUGAGAUACGGUCCAGACUCCUACGGGAGGCAGCAGUGGGGAAUAUUUGGGCAAUGGGGCAACCCUGACCCAGCGACGCCGCGUGGGGAAGACGGCCUUCGGGUUGUAAACCUCUUUGUUACGGGAAGAAGGAAGUGACGGUACUGUACGAAUAAGUCCCGGCUAACUACGUGCCAGCCGCCGC